RNAcentral lists this unclassified non-coding RNA (240 nucleotides) under fungal sp. Its description in RNAcentral is "partial internal transcribed spacer region". The stretch from base 1 to 46 matches the Rfam family "Eukaryotic small subunit ribosomal RNA", at positions 1786 to 1831 of the family's 1831-position model. The record is from RNAcentral. Lineage: Eukaryota; Fungi.
AAGUCGUAACAAGGUUUCCGUAGGUGAACCUGCGGAAGGAUCAUUACCAAUUUAAUCCAAAUCUCUAACCCAUGUGCACGAUGAUUGUUUGUCCUUGGGGUGUUGUUUGUUGUGUGAAAACCCAAUAAAUCAGUCACCCCGACAUUGUUAACAAAAUCCUUUUUGAUUUAUACAUGGCAUCUUGUCUUUGCUUAAAAUAAUAAGUAUGACAACUUUUAACGGUGGAUCUCUUGGCUCGUG